Molecule: non-coding RNA, 234 nt
Organism: Pelobates cultripes (western spadefoot toad)
Lineage: Eukaryota; Metazoa; Chordata; Amphibia; Anura; Pelobatidae
Source: the annotation of a GenBank genome assembly
CCGUGGAUGAAUGGCACAACAAUGGGCCUCAGGAUUUCAUCACAGUGUCACUGUGCAUUCAAAAUGCCAUCAAUAAAAUGCACCUUUGUUUGUUGUCCAUAACAUACGCCUAACCAUACCAUAACCCCACCACUACCAUGGGCCACUCGAUCCACAACAUUGUCAUCAGCAAACCGCUCACCCACAUGACGCCAUGCAUGUUGUCUGCCAUCUGCCCUGUACAUUGAAAACCGG